RNAcentral lists this ribosomal RNA (140 nucleotides) under uncultured eukaryote. RNAcentral's name for it is "partial 18S ribosomal RNA". It matches the Rfam family "Eukaryotic small subunit ribosomal RNA", at positions 1299 to 1458 of the family's 1831-position model. The record is from RNAcentral.
UGGUGGAGUGAUUUGUCUGGUUAAUUCCGUUAACGAACGAGACCCCCGCCUGCUAAAUAGUCUUGUUAAUGCACUAGUAUUGACGUAGGCUUCUUAGAGGGACUUUCGGUGACUAACCGAAGGAAGUUGGGGCAAUAACA